AGUCAGAGGCGAUGAAGGACGUACUAACUUGCGAUAAGCGCAGAUAAGGCAGUAAGAGCCGUUUGAGUCUGCGAUUUCCGAAUGGGGAAACCCAACUGCAUAAGCAGUUACUGUUAACUGAAUACAUAGGUUAACAGAGCAAACCGGGGGAACUGAAACAUCUAAGUACCCCGAGGAGAAGAAAUCAACCGAGAUUCCGGUAGUAGCGGCGAGCGAACCUGGAUUAGCCCUUAAGCACUCGGUGAAGUAGGUGAACAAGCUGGAAAGCUUGGCGAUACAGGGUGAUAGCCCCGUAACCGACGCUUCAUCGAGCGUGAAAUCGAGUAGGGCGGGACACGUGAUAUCCUGUCUGAAUAUGGGGGGACCAUCCUCCAAGGCUAAAUACUCCUGACUGACCGAUAGUGAACCAGUACCGUGAGGGAAAGGCGAAAAGAACCCCUGUGAGGGGAGUGAAAUAGAACCUGAAACCGUGUACGUACAAGCAGUAGGAGCACCUUCGUGGUGUGACUGCGUACCUUUUGUAUAAUGGGUCAGCGACUUAUAUUCAGUGGCAAUGUUAACCGUAUAGGGGAGCCGUAGCGAAAGCGAGUCUUAACUGGGCGGCUCAGUCUCUGGAUAUAGACCCGAAACCCGGGUGAUCUAGCCAUGGGCAGGUUGAAGGUUGAGUAACAUCAACUGGAGGACCGAACCGACUAAUGUUGAAAAAUUAGCGGAUGACUUGUGGCUAGGGGUGAAAGGCCAAUCAAACUCGGAGAUAGCUGGUUCUCCCCGAAAGCUAUUUAGGUAGCGCCUCGGACGAAUACUACUGGGGGUAGAGCACUGUUAAGGCUAGGGGGUCAUCCCGACUUACCAACCCUUUGCAAACUCCGAAUACCAGUAAGUACUAUCCGGGAGACACACGGCGGGUGCUAACGUCCGUCGUGGAGAGGGAAACAACCCAGACCGCCAGCUAAGGUCCCAAAGUAUUGCUAAGUGGGAAACGAUGUGGGAAGGCUCAGACAGCUAGGAUGUUGGCUUAGAAGCAGCCAUCAUUUAAAGAAAGCGUAAUAGCUCACUAGUCGAGUCGGCCUGCGCGGAAGAUGUAACGGGGCUAAGCAAUACACCGAAGCUGCGGCAAUAUCUUUUAGAUAUUGGGUAGGGGAGCGUUCUGUAAGCCGUUGAAGGUGAAUCGUAAGGUUUGCUGGAGGUAUCAGAAGUGCGAAUGCUGACAUGAGUAACGACAAAGGGGGUGAAAAACCUCCUCGCCGGAAGACCAAGGGUUCCUGUCCAACGUUAAUCGGGGCAGGGUGAGUCGACCCCUAAGGUGAGGCCGAAAGGCGUAAUCGAUGGGAAACGGGUUAAUAUUCCCGUACUUCUGACUAUUGCGAUGGGGGGACGGAGAAGGCUAGGUGGGCCAGGCGACGGUUGUCCUGGUUCAAGUGCGUAGGCUUGAGAGUUAGGUAAAUCCGGCUCUCUCUAAGGCUGAGACACGACGUCGAGCUGCUACGGCAGUGAAGUCAUUGAUGCCAUGCUUCCAGGAAAAGCCUCUAAGCUUCAGAUAGUCAGGAAUCGUACCCCAAACCGACACAGGUGGUCGGGUAGAGAAUACCAAGGCGCUUGAGAGAACUCGGGUGAAGGAACUAGGCAAAAUGGUACCGUAACUUCGGGAGAAGGUACGCUCUUGAUGGUGAAGUCCCUCGCGGAUGGAGCUGACGAGAGUCGCAGAUACCAGGUGGCUGCAACUGUUUAUUAAAAACACAGCACUGUGCAAAAUCGCAAGAUGACGUAUACGGUGUGACGCCUGCCCGGUGCCGGAAGGUUAAUUGAUGGGGUUAGCGCAAGCGAAGCUCUUGAUCGAAGCCCCGGUAAACGGCGGCCGUAACUAUAACGGUCCUAAGGUAGCGAAAUUCCUUGUCGGGUAAGUUCCGACCUGCACGAAUGGCGUAAUGAUGGCCACGCUGUCUCCACCCGAGACUCAGUGAAAUUGAAAUCGCUGUGAAGAUGCAGUGUACCCGCGGCUAGACGGAAAGACCCCGUGAACCUUUACUACAGCUUGGCACUGAACAUUGAACCUACAUGUGUAGGAUAGGUGGGAGGCUAUGAAGACGUGACGCCAGUUGCGUUGGAGCCGUCCUUGAAAUACCACCCUUGUAUGUUUGAUGUUCUAACUUAGACCCAUUAUCUGGGUUGAGGACAGUGCCUGGUGGGUAGUUUGACUGGGGCGGUCUCCUCCCAAAGAGUAACGGAGGAGCACGAAGGUGGGCUAAUCACGGUUGGACAUCGUGAGGUUAGUGCAAUGGCAUAAGCCCGCUUAACUGCGAGAAUGACGGUUCGAGCAGGUGCGAAAGCAGGUCAUAGUGAUCCGGUGGUUCUGUAUGGAAGGGCCAUCGCUCAACGGAUAAAAGGUACUCCGGGGAUAACAGGCUGAUACCGCCCAAGAGUUCAUAUCGACGGCGGUGUUUGGCACCUCGAUGUCGGCUCAUCACAUCCUGGGGCUGAAGUCGGUCCCAAGGGUAUGGCUGUUCGCCAUUUAAAGUGGUACGCGAGCUGGGUUUAGAACGUCGUGAGACAGUUCGGUCCCUAUCUGCCGUGGGCGUUGGAAGAUUGAAGGGGGCUGCUCCUAGUACGAGAGGACCGGAGUGGACGAACCUCUGGUGUUCGGGUUGUGUCGCCAGACGCAUUGCCCGGUAGCUAAGUUCGGAAUUGAUAAGCGCUGAAAGCAUCUAAGCGCGAAGCGAGCCCUGAGAUGAGUCUUCCCUGACAGUUUAACUGUUCUAAAGGGUUGUUCGAGACUAGAACGUUGAUAGGCAGGGUGUGUAAGCGUUGUGAGGCGUUGAGCUAACCUGUACUAAUUGCCCGUGAGGCUUAACCAU
RNAcentral lists this ribosomal RNA (2852 nucleotides) under Vibrio cholerae HC-43B1. RNAcentral describes it as "bacterial LSU rRNA". It matches the Rfam family "Bacterial large subunit ribosomal RNA". Lineage: Bacteria; Pseudomonadati; Pseudomonadota; Gammaproteobacteria; Vibrionales; Vibrionaceae. The record is from RNAcentral.